AAGCCUUGAAGUGUUUUCUCUGGUGAAUUACAUCUUAGAAUUACACUUUCUAUUUCUGGGAACUCCACAUUCUCACCUACUGCCUUGUUCAACAUUCGCUGCCUCUGGCUGCAGAAACUGAUUAGGAAGCUAGGCCAAUUGGAGAUUUGAAAUAAUACUUUAUUGACUUUUUUUUUUUUUAUGAAGGAGACAUAGCCAGCAGAGAAAUGUGUAGUAGCACUCUCUACUUGAAUGUAGUUAGGGUCAUACCUUGUUUUCUUUGUUUCGUAGAAACAAACCAAGAAUACACCUUGCUUCCUUUUCAAUUACACGCAGAUAAAAUAUAUUGGAUGUUACUCAUUUUAAAGGCCUGAGGGAAGAGGAACAACACUAAAUUGUAUUCACUUUGCCCUUUUUGGAUAUCCCUUAAGUGUCAUCAAAAAGAAUUCUCCAGGACAAGUUCCAUGAGAGAUGAGGACACUGAGGCCACAGAAAUUAAGUGCCUCAUUCAAGGCAAAUAUGAAAUUUUAACUAAGAAUUGCUAUGCUUUUACUGUCUUGAUGCCACUUUAGGAAAUGGAUGAAUUCUCUGAAAUUUCCAUUCAAAUUAAAUCAUGUUUUACUAAACAUAACUAUGAUUCUACUAUAAAUAAUUCUACACCAGAAACUUCUUUUAUAGAACAAGCGCCAUCCUUACCAGUGUUACCCAUCCCCUUUUCCAUUUAUCCUUUCUUUUUAAAUUUGAGAAAGAGAUAAGUGAUCCUUUUCUUCCUAUCAUACGCAUGUACUUCAUAAAAUCAUGGGAAAGUAGAAUUAAAAGGCGACUUUUAUUUUGCUGUAAAAUAGUAUGCAUUCCCAUGAACUUUUUUUUUUUUUUCCAGGCAGAGUGGACAGAGAGAGAGACAGAGAGAAAGGUCUUCCUUUGCCGUUGGUUCACCCUCCAAUGGCCGCCGCAGCCGGCGCACCGCGCUGAUCUGAUGGCAGGAGCCAGGAGCCAGGUGCUUUUCCUGGUCUCCCAUGGGGUGCAGGGCCCAAGCACCUGGGCCAUCCUCCACUGCACUCCCUGGCCACAGCAGAGAGCUGGCCUGGAAGAGGGGCAACCGGGACAGAAUCCGGCGCCCCAACCGGGACUAGAACCCGGUUAGCCGGCGCCGUGGCUCAAUAGGCUAAUCCUCCACCUUGCGGCGCCGGCACACCGGGUUCUAGUCCCGGUUGGGGCGCCGGAUUCUGUCCCGGUUGCCCCUCUUCCAGGCCAGCUCUCUGCUAUGGCCAGGGAGUGCAGUGGAGGAUGGCCCAGGUGCUUGGGCCCUGCACCCCAUGGGAGACCAGGAGAAGCACCUGGCUCUUGGCUUCAGAUCAGCGCAGUGCGCCGGCUGCCACGUGCCAGCCGCAGCGGCCAUUGGAGGGUGAACCAACAGCAAAGGAAGACCUUUCUCUCUGUCUCUCUCUCUCACUGUCCAC
This is a non-coding RNA of Oryctolagus cuniculus (rabbit), 1439 nucleotides long. The record is from RefSeq and is a predicted model, not a curated record. NCBI's taxonomy places the organism in Eukaryota, Metazoa, Chordata, Mammalia, Lagomorpha, Leporidae.